AGAAAUAAAUAUAUUUAAGCUUCUAACUUAAAUUCUAGCAUUUUUAUGUUAAUAUUUC
This 58-nucleotide transfer RNA is filed under the name Scymninae sp. 2 ACP-2013. RNAcentral describes it as "tRNA-Ser". The record is from RNAcentral. Lineage: Eukaryota; Metazoa; Arthropoda; Insecta; Coleoptera; Coccinellidae.